RNAcentral lists this ribosomal RNA (365 nucleotides) under uncultured Streptococcus sp. Its description in RNAcentral is "bacterial SSU rRNA". It matches the Rfam family "Bacterial small subunit ribosomal RNA", at positions 1017 to 1382 of the family's 1533-position model. The record is from RNAcentral. Lineage: Bacteria; Bacillati; Bacillota; Bacilli; Lactobacillales; Streptococcaceae.
ACUUCGGUACAUCGGUGACGGGUGGUGGCAUGGUUGUCGUCAGCUCGUGUCGUGAGAUGUUGGGUUAAGUCCCGCAACGAGCGCAACCCCUAUUGUUAGUUGCCAUCAUUCAGUUGGGCACUCUAGCGAGACUGCCGGUAAUAAACCGGAGGAAGGUGGGGAUGACGUCAAAUCAUCAUGCCCCUUAUGACCUGGGCUACACACGUGCUACAAUGGUUGGUACAACGAGUUGCGAGUCGGUGACGGCGAGCUAAUCUCUUAAAGCCAAUCUCAGUUCGGAUUGUAGGCUGCAACUCGCCUACAUGAAGUCGGAAUCGCUAGUAAUCGCGGAUCAGCACGCCGCGGUGAAUACGUUCCCGGGCCUU